This 58-nucleotide small RNA is filed under the name Arabidopsis thaliana (thale cress). RNAcentral describes it as "ATSL008230". Lineage: Eukaryota; Viridiplantae; Streptophyta; Magnoliopsida; Brassicales; Brassicaceae. The record is from RNAcentral.
UACACCUUGGGAGAAGGACAAGGAGAAGGAGAAGGAGAAGGAGAAGGAGGACGAAGAA